CCUACGGGNAGGCAGCAGCAGGGAAUCUUGCGCAAUGGGCGAAAGCCUGACGCAGCGACACCGCGUGGGGGAAGAAGGCCUCAGGGUUGUAAACCCCUUUUCUGUGGGAAGAGAUAGGACGGUACCACAGGAAUAAGCAUCGGCUAACUACGUGCCAGCAGCCGCGGUAAUACGUAGGAUGCAAGCGUUGUCCGGAUUUACUGGGCGUAAAGGGUGUGUAGGCGGCAUGUUAAGUCUCAUGUGAAAUCUCCCGGCUCAACUGGGAGGGGUCAUGGGAAACUGGCAAGCUGGAGGGCAGCAGAGGAAAGCGGAAUUCCGGGAGUAGUGGUGGAAUGCGUAGAUACCCGGAGGAACACCAGAGGCGAAGGCGGCUUUCUGGGCUGUACCUGACGCUGAGACACGAAAGCGUGGGGAGCGAACCGGAUUAGAUACCCGGGUAGUCCACGCCCUAAACGAUGGAUACUAGAUAUAGGGGGUAUUGACCCCUCCUGUGUCGGAGUUAACGCGAUAAGUAUCCCGCCUGGGGAGUACGGCCGCAAGGCUAAAACUCAAAGGAAUUGACGG
This 564-nucleotide ribosomal RNA is filed under the name uncultured bacterium. Its description in RNAcentral is "bacterial SSU rRNA". It matches the Rfam family "Bacterial small subunit ribosomal RNA", at positions 338 to 916 of the family's 1533-position model. The record is from RNAcentral.